AGUCGAACGGUAACAGGUCUUCGGAUGCUGACGAGUGGCGAACGGGUGAGUAAUACAUCGGAACGUGCCCAGUAAUGGGGGAUAGCUCGGCGAAAGCCGGAUUAAUACCGCAUACGCCCUGAGGGGGAAAGUGGGGGACCGCAAGGCCUCACGUUAUUGGAGCGGCCGAUGGCUGAUUAGCUAGUUGGUAGGGUAAAGGCCUACCAAGGCGACGAUCAGUAGCUGGUCUGAGAGGACGAUCAGCCACACUGGGACUGAGACACGGCCCAGACUCCUACGGGAGGCAGCAGUGGGGAAUUUUGGACAAUGGGGGAAACCCUGAUCCAGCAAUGCCGCGUGUGCGAAGAAGGCCUUCGGGUUGUAAAGCACUUUUGUCAGGGAAGAAAUCCUUUGGGCUAAUACCCUAGGGGGAUGACGGUACCUGAAGAAUAAGCACCGGCUAACUACGUGCCAGCAGCCGCGGUAAUACGUAGGGUGCAAGCGUUAAUCGGAAUUACUGGGCGUAAAGCGUGCGCAGGCGGUUGUGUAAGACAGGUGUGAAAUCCCCGGGCUUAACCUGGGAAUUGCAUUUGUGACUGCACGACUAGAGUGUGUCAGAGGGGGGUGGAAUUCCACGUGUAGCAGUGAAAUGCGUAGAUAUGUGGAGGAACACCAAUGGCGAAGGCA
Molecule: ribosomal RNA, 666 nt
Filed under: uncultured beta proteobacterium
Lineage: Bacteria; Pseudomonadati; Pseudomonadota; Betaproteobacteria
Description: bacterial SSU rRNA
Rfam family: Bacterial small subunit ribosomal RNA
Source: RNAcentral